RNAcentral lists this ribosomal RNA (497 nucleotides) under uncultured bacterium. Its description in RNAcentral is "partial 16S ribosomal RNA". It matches the Rfam family "Bacterial small subunit ribosomal RNA", at positions 28 to 507 of the family's 1533-position model. The record is from RNAcentral.
GAUGAACGCUGGCGGCGUGCCUAAUACAUGCAAGUCGAGCGAACGGACGAGAAGCUUGCUUCUCUGAUGUUAGCGGCGGACGGGUGAGUAACACGUGGAUAACCUACCUAUAAGACUGGGAUAACUUCGGGAAACCGGAGCUAAUACCGGAUAAUAUUUUGAACCGCAUGGUUCAAAAGUGAAAGACGGUCUUGCUGUCACUUAUAGAUGGAUCCGCGCUGCAUUAGCUAGUUGGUAAGGUAACGGCUUACCAAGGCAACGAUGCAUAGCCGACCUGAGAGGGUGAUCGGCCACACGGGAACUGAGACACGGUCCAGACUCCUACGGGAGGCAGCAGUAGGGAAUCUUCCGCAAUGGGCGAAAGCCUGACGGAGCAACGCCGCGUGAGUGAUGAAGGUCUUCGGAUCGUAAAACUCUGUUAUUAGGGAAGAACAUAUGUGUAAGUAACUGUGCACAUCUUGACGGUACCGAAUCAGAAAGCCACGGCUAACUACGUG